CUGCCGGCGUGCCUAAUACAUGCAAGUCGAGCGAAUCUCUUCGGUGGUUAGCGGCGGACGGGUGAGUAACACGUGGGCAACCUGCCUGUAAGACUGGGAUAACACCGGGAAACCGGUGCUAAUACCGGAUAAUCCUUUUCCUCUCAUGAGGAAAAGCUGAAAGUCGGUUUCGGCUGACACUUACAGAUGGGCCCGCGGCGCAUUAGCUAGUUGGUGAGGUAACGGCUCACCAAGGCGACGAUGCGUAGCCGACCUGAGAGGGUGAUCGGCCACACUGGGACUGAGACACGGCCCAGACUCCUACGGGAGGCAGCAGUAGGGAAUCUUCCACAAUGGACGAAAGUCUGAUGGAGCAACGCCGCGUGAGCGAUGAAGGCCUUCGGGUCGUAAAGCUCUGUUGUUAGGGAAGAACAAGUACCGGAGUAACUGCCGGUACCUUGACGGUAC
Molecule: ribosomal RNA, 447 nt
Filed under: bacterium Ellin6084
Lineage: Bacteria; Bacillati; Bacillota; Bacilli; Caryophanales; Bacillaceae
Description: bacterial SSU rRNA
Rfam family: Bacterial small subunit ribosomal RNA
Source: RNAcentral